This 123-nucleotide microRNA precursor is filed under the name Gossypium hirsutum (cotton). RNAcentral describes it as "MIR7504 microRNA precursor family". It matches the Rfam family "MIR7504 microRNA precursor family". The record is from Rfam by way of RNAcentral. Lineage: Eukaryota; Viridiplantae; Streptophyta; Magnoliopsida; Malvales; Malvaceae.
AAUAGGAGAAUGACAAAUAAGAUUUUUCCUCAUAAUUUUCAACUUUUUUGUCCUAAAAAAAUUUAAUUCCAAUUAAAAAUGUUAAAAAUCAGGAAGAAAAAUUUGAUUUAUCAUCCUCCUAUU